Molecule: long non-coding RNA, 1270 nt
Organism: Canis lupus familiaris (dog)
Lineage: Eukaryota; Metazoa; Chordata; Mammalia; Carnivora; Canidae
Exons: 2
Source: RefSeq, a predicted model, not a curated record
GACUUUGUGUUGCAUGGUUCACUGUUACUGUGGUAGUUAUUAUUAUUGUUAUGUUUUAUUUUUGGAAAUGGGCAGAAGGAAGAGAACCAAGUAGGGGAAUGUAUAGACAGUUUCAUCUAUGUAACAAAAUUAUGUUGCAGACCAGAAAAUCUCUUUUGGAAUCAUUUGAGCUAAUUCUAGGCAACUUCGUUUAUCAAAGAUUAUGUUGGUGCCUUUGACUGGAUAAGCGAGAGUCUACUUCUAGGCUCUAUUCUAUUUCAUUGUUCCAUCUGUCUCUCCAUAAGCAGUAUCACACUAUUUUAAUUACAAUAGCUAUACAGUAAAUCAUGAAAUAGUGUAAAUCCUCCCACUUUGUACUUAUUAUUUAAGAUUUCUAUGGAUGAAUAUUCUAGACAUUGUGCUUCCUGUAACUUCUAGAACCAACUUACUGAUUUCUACCCAAAAAAAUCUGCUGGAAUUAUAAUUGGGAUUGCAUUAACUCUGUAGAUCAGUUUGAGGAGAAUUAAUAUCUUAAAAUUAUCUAAUAUUCUAAUUCAUGAAUAUGAUGUACCUUUAUUUACUUAGGUUACUUUUAAUUUAUAUCAAAAUGUUUUACACCAUAGUGGCUUUUAUUUUAUUUGACUUUUUAUGAUUCAAGUAUAAAAAAAGGUAUCAUACACUUAUAGUGGUCUAUUAUUAACUCUCAUUUGGUUAAGGAUUUAAAAAUUUUAGGGCUAGAAUUCAAAUCAGCUUCCCAUUUUACUAAAGAAAUGCCUGAAUUGUGGCAUGUUACUGUGGGAUAUUGUAGAGUGGUGGUUCUUUAUUCUUUGUUGUCACCUUUUGUGAUCCCUUUGAGAAGCGACAAGAGCUAUAUUCACAAACUCAUAUAUGAGUUUCCUAUUGUUUUAGAGUCUUCAUAAGCUCCCUAAAAUUCUUCACACAUCAACACCACGCUAAAACUCUAGACAAGAGAUAAAAUGCUACAAGCAACUUCUGUACAUUCAUCAAUACCCAAAAACAAUAUGCAAGUGAAAAAAAACUGCACUUUUUUUCUGCACUUAGUUUUGCACUAAAACUUCUGAACUUAACCCAAUGGUUGAUUAUUUAGUUGAUAGAUUUGGACUUCAUUUGCAUAGUAAAACAGCAUCAGUUGCAAAAUAAUAUUUGUAAUUUCUCCACUUUUUCAGUGCCCCAAGAGCUUUCAAUUCUAGAUUAAAACCUCUGACCUAAAAGUCUCUAAAAAAAAAAAAAAAAGGUAAAAUAAACCAACAAUUCCCUUGAGUGUGUUGAU